AUUAAGUAUUGUUUUAUGGCUGAUAAAUUUCUUUGAAUUUCUCCUUGAUUAUUUGUUAUAAAAGUUAUAAAAUAAUCUUGUUGGAACCAUUCAAAACAGCAUAGCAAGUUAAAAUAAGGCUAGUCCGUUAUCAACUUGAAAAAGUGGCACCGAGUCGGUGCUUUUUUUGAUACUUCUAUUCUACUCUGACUGCAAACCAAAAAAACAAGCGCUUUCAAAACGCUUGUUUUAUCAU
This 235-nucleotide small RNA is filed under the name Streptococcus pyogenes. The stretch from base 79 to 168 matches the Rfam family "Trans-activating crRNA". The record is from RNAcentral. Lineage: Bacteria; Bacillati; Bacillota; Bacilli; Lactobacillales; Streptococcaceae.